AGGGUUUGAUUCUGGCUCAGAGUGAACGCUGGCGGCGUGCCUAAUACAUGCAAGUCGAACGGAAUUUAAAAGAGCUUGCUCUUUUAAAUUUAGUGGCGCACGGGUGAGUAAUAUAUAGCUAAUCUGCCCCUUGCUGGAGGACAACAGUUAGAAAUGACUGCUAAUACUCCAUACUCCUUUUUACCAUAAGAUAAAUCGGGAAAGAAUUUCGGCAAGGGAUGAGACUAUAUCGUAUCAGCUAGUCGGUGGGGUAACGGCCUACCGAGGCUAUGACGCGUAACUGGUCUGAGAGGAUGAUCAGUCACAUUGGAACUGAGACACGGUCCAA
RNAcentral lists this ribosomal RNA (328 nucleotides) under uncultured bacterium. RNAcentral's name for it is "bacterial SSU rRNA". It matches the Rfam family "Bacterial small subunit ribosomal RNA", at positions 8 to 334 of the family's 1533-position model. The record is from RNAcentral.